GUGUAGCUUAAGCUUCAAGGAUUGGAGACUACUUAUAGGAAAGAAAGAUAGGAACCAUAAACAAAUCAAUAAGGAGGCCAUUCUUAAUCAAGUAAAGAAGAGAUUUCUUUACCCUGCCCGCAUGGAAACAUGGGUGCUGCGAACAAUUGGAGAGAGAUGGAGGCAACACAAGUCCAAUUUGAAAUCCAUUUAUUUUGACCCACAUAAGAGUCAGGAUGCUAAUAAUAGUAAUGCUCCUGAUGGUGUAUUAGCUGAUCAGUGGGUUGCGCUUGUCAAUAAUUGGAUGACCCCUAAAGCACAGGAUUUAAGUGAGGCCAAUAGGAUAAAUUGUACAAGAAGAAAGUCAAUGCAUACAUCUGGAACAAAAAGCUUUGCUCG
Zea mays is the source of this 378-nucleotide long non-coding RNA. RefSeq lists it as uncharacterized. The transcript has 3 exons. NCBI's taxonomy places the organism in Eukaryota, Viridiplantae, Streptophyta, Magnoliopsida, Poales, Poaceae. The record is from RefSeq and is a predicted model, not a curated record.